GCCCCCGUAGUCCAACGGGCAGAGACACUUCGUCGAGAACGAAGAGGCUGCAGGUUCGAAUCCUGCCGGGGGCA
This 74-nucleotide transfer RNA is filed under the name Thermomonospora echinospora. RNAcentral describes it as "Actinomadura echinospora tRNA". It matches the Rfam family "tRNA". Rfam says of the family: Transfer RNA (tRNA) molecules are approximately 80 nucleotides in length. Their secondary structure includes four short double-helical elements and three loops (D, anti-codon, and T loops). Lineage: Bacteria; Bacillati; Actinomycetota; Actinomycetes; Streptosporangiales; Thermomonosporaceae. The record is from Rfam by way of RNAcentral.